UGGCGGCCGGCGCACGGGUGAGUAACGCGUAUCCAACCUGCCCUUUACUAUGGGACAGCCCGUCGAAAGGCGGAUUAAUACCGUAUGUUGUCAUGUUGAUGCAUAUAUUCAUGACCAAAGGCUUCGGCCGGUAAAGGAUGGGGAUGCGUCUGAUUAGCUUGCCGGCGGGGUAACGGCCCACCGGGGCGACGAUCAGUAGGGGUUCUGAGAGGAAGGUCCCCCACAUUGGAACUGAGACACGGUCCAAACUCCUACGGGAGGCAGCAG
RNAcentral lists this ribosomal RNA (267 nucleotides) under uncultured bacterium. Its description in RNAcentral is "partial 16S ribosomal RNA". It matches the Rfam family "Bacterial small subunit ribosomal RNA", at positions 89 to 354 of the family's 1533-position model. The record is from RNAcentral.